RNAcentral lists this ribosomal RNA (468 nucleotides) under uncultured bacterium. Its description in RNAcentral is "partial 16S ribosomal RNA". It matches the Rfam family "Bacterial small subunit ribosomal RNA", at positions 28 to 507 of the family's 1533-position model. The record is from RNAcentral.
GACGAACGCUGGCGGCGUGCUUAACACAUGCAAGUCGAACGGAAAGGCCCUGCUUUUGUGGGGUGCUCGAGUGGCGAACGGGUGAGUAACACGUGAGUAACCUGCCCUUGACUUUGGGAUAACUUCAGGAAACUGGGGCUAAUACCGGAUAGGAGCUCCUGCUGCAUGGUGGGGGUUGGAAAGUUUCGGCGGUUGGGGAUGGACUCGCGGCGUAUCAGCUUGUUGGUGGGGUAGUGGCUUACCAAGGCUUUGACGGGUAGCCGGCCUGAGAGGGUGACCGGCCACAUUGGGACUGAGAGAGGGCCCAGACUCCUACGGGAGGCAGCAGGGGGGAAUAUUGCGCAAUGGGCGGGAGCCUGAUGCAGCAACGCCGCGUGCGGGAUGACGGCCUACGGGUUGUAAACCGCUUUGGCCGGUAACGAAGCGUGAGUGACGGUAAUGGGUAAGGAAGCACCGGCUAACUACGUG